AGAAAACAGAUUUCAAAGGAUUCAGAAGAAUUUUCAUGAAGAUAGCUGAAAGAUGCAAAAAAUGACAUUCUGAAGCCACAGUAUCCCAAGGAGAAAGAAAUAAUGGACUUAGGCUGAAGAGACUAUUAUGAAUUCACCAAUAUACAGAGAUUUUUUAAAAGCAUGUGGAAGAUCAAAUUAAGGCCAGAUAAUUGAGAGUGAAUGUAAAAGAGAAAAAGGGAGAUAAACGGAGGAAAAGGCUUUUCAUUUCUGAGGGUAGCUUGAUGAUCAGUGAAAAAAAAACAACAACAGGACUUCAGCAUUUCCAUUGGUAAUGCAAAGUUGCCCAGAGAUGGAGGAAGGAGAGAGACAGAGAGGCAGGGAAAGACCCUGGAACUCCAUUGAAGGAGGAGGCUGGCAAGUGGUUCAAUGUCUCAGGGGACUGAGGUAAGA
Long non-coding RNA from Antechinus flavipes (yellow-footed antechinus), 432 nucleotides. RefSeq lists it as uncharacterized. The transcript has 3 exons. The record is from RefSeq and is a predicted model, not a curated record. Lineage: Eukaryota; Metazoa; Chordata; Mammalia; Dasyuromorphia; Dasyuridae.